GGCCUACCAUGGUGGUAACGGGUAACGGGGUGUUAGGGCACGACACCGGAGAGGGAGCCUGAGAAACGGCUACCACAUCCAAGGAUGGCAGCAGGCGCGCAAAUUACCCAAUCCCGACACGGGGAGGUAGUGACAAUAAAUAACAAUACGGGGUUCUUUAGGAUCUCGUAAUUGGAAUGAGUACAAUUUAAAUCUCUUAACGAGGAACAAUUGGAGGGCAAGUCUGGUGCCAGCAGCCGCGGUAAUUCCAGCUCCAAUAGCGUAUAUUAAAGUUGUUGCAGUUAAAAAGCUCGUAGUUGAAUUUCGGGGUUAGUAGGUUGGUCAUGCCUCUGGUAUGUACUGGUCUCACUGAUUCCUCCUUCCUGAUGAACCGUAAUGCCAUUAAUUUGGUGUUGCGGGGAAUUUGGACUGUUACUUUGAAAAAAUUAGAGUGUUUAAAGCAAGCUAACGCUUGAAUACAUUAGCAUGGAAUAAUGAAAUAGGACGUUCGAUCCUAUUUUGUUGGUUUCUAGGAUUGACGUAAUGAUUAAUAGGGAUAGUUGGGGGCAUUAGUAUUCAAUUGUCAGAGGUGAAAUUCUUGGAUUUAUUGAAGACUAACUACUGCGAAAGCAUUUGCCAAGGAUGUUUUCAUUAAUCAAGAACGAAAGUUAGGGGAUCGAAGCCGAUCAGAUACCGUCGUAGUCUUAACCAUAAACUAUGCCGACUAGGGAUCGGAUGAUGUUAAUUUUUUAAUGACUCAUUCGGCGCCUUAC
RNAcentral lists this ribosomal RNA (752 nucleotides) under uncultured Glomus. RNAcentral's name for it is "SSU rRNA". It matches the Rfam family "Eukaryotic small subunit ribosomal RNA", at positions 338 to 1091 of the family's 1831-position model. The record is from RNAcentral. Lineage: Eukaryota; Fungi; Glomeromycota; Glomeromycetes; Glomerales; Glomeraceae.